RNAcentral lists this long non-coding RNA (482 nucleotides) under Mytilus galloprovincialis (Mediterranean mussel). The record is from RNAcentral. Lineage: Eukaryota; Metazoa; Mollusca; Bivalvia; Mytilida; Mytilidae.
CUCUUGUCAUGCUUGUAGAAGCUACAUUUUUGUGUACAUGUAUAGUCAUUUUGACCAAUAUCAAUUCAGUAAGUUGAAUUUCUUAACACCUUACAAGUGUCUUGGUAUUACAUAUAUACAUGUGUUUGUUAUUGUGUAUAUUCCGUAUAUUGUGUUGAUGAUUUUUUGGUAAGAAAGGCUUUCAUCCUGAACUCCACUCUUAAUGUGGGCCGGUUAAGAGAUCUCCAUGUGUGGUCAAAUUAUAUUCUCUAUUGAUAAAAAUUAAGAGAUAUGGUAUGAUUGCCAAUGAGACAACUGUAUAUCCACUAAAGUUCAAAUGAGGUGGACUACAUGUACGUUCAUUUUACUUUUACAUGUAUUAGCAAUUACUCCUUUGAGUCAAAUGAGUUUUCAACAUGUUCAAUGUGUUUAUCUGUUUUUAUUAUCUUUGAUCCAGUGAGACAACAAUCCACCAGAGACCAAAAAACAAGGUUGUGAACAAU